Camelina sativa (false flax) is the source of this 511-nucleotide non-coding RNA. The record is from RefSeq and is a predicted model, not a curated record. NCBI's taxonomy places the organism in Eukaryota, Viridiplantae, Streptophyta, Magnoliopsida, Brassicales, Brassicaceae.
UCCCCAUAUCUUGUAAAACUUUUUGAUAAUACAAAGAAGGCUUAGAAUUUUUUAUUAGUCUAAAUGAGUUUUCUAUAUAAAGUUUGGAAAACCAUUACAAACUCUCUUCGUAAAUCGCUCUCCUCCUCAUAUUUUUAGCCGCCAGAAGAAAACUGAAUGUAAAAUUUUCACUUUCCCGAGACAAAAGAAAAAAAGCUAAUCCCGGCGAUUCCAUGACCGGAGGUUUUGUCUGAAAAAUAUAUAUUUUUUUAAAAAAAAAAAAUCUCUAAACUUGGCAAAAAUCAUUCAAACGAGUCCAAAUCAAAAUCACACCAAUUUCAACGCCUCUUCUUCUUCUUCUGAAUUAUAUAUAUUGGAGAGACUAAAGGCAAAGAAGAAAGCUUUCUCAUUUCCUCGUAAUUGCCGUAGAAUUCUACUAAAGGGUUGGUUGAACAAUGAAGGGAGCGACACUCGUUGCUCUCGCCGCCACUAUCGGCAAUUUCUUGCAAGGAUGGGACAAUGCCACCAUUGC